CUCUAGCCGGCACCAUGUAAGUUUCGGAGGGGUAGCGAAGUGGCUAAACGCGGCGGACUGUAAAUCCGCUCCUUCGGGUUCGGCAGUUCGAAUCUGCCCCC
This 101-nucleotide ribosomal RNA is filed under the name Bacillus anthracis str. A0193. Its description in RNAcentral is "small subunit ribosomal RNA, 5' domain". The stretch from base 26 to 101 matches the Rfam family "tRNA". Rfam says of the family: Transfer RNA (tRNA) molecules are approximately 80 nucleotides in length. The record is from RNAcentral. Lineage: Bacteria; Bacillati; Bacillota; Bacilli; Caryophanales; Bacillaceae.